Molecule: long non-coding RNA, 391 nt
Filed under: Salvia miltiorrhiza (redroot sage)
Lineage: Eukaryota; Viridiplantae; Streptophyta; Magnoliopsida; Lamiales; Lamiaceae
Description: long non-coding RNA (SMIL_LNC008060)
Source: RNAcentral
CCUCCUCCCUGCUAUGCAGUCAGUGAAUGCUGCUGUCACCAAUCUGGGGCUAAGCAAGGAGAUAUACGUGACCACGGCCCACUCAUUCGCCAUCCUCAGCAGCUCGUUCCCGCCCUCUGCAGGUGCAUUCAGGCAGGACCUUGCAGAGUACAUCCAAAGCAUUCUCAAUUUCCACACACAGACUCACUCACCCUUCCUCAUAAAUGCUUACCCCUUCUUUGCUUAUAAGGACAGCCCUGACGAGAUCUCACUUAGCUACGCGCUCUUCCAGCCUAGCCAGGGAAUGGUAGACUCCAACACGAACUUGCACUAUGACAACAUGUUGUAUGCACAGAUUGAUGCUGUUUAUGCAGCCAUCAAGGCAAUGGGGCAUACUGAUAUUCAAGUUAAG